GUGACACUGACCUGAUCUCUCUUCACCUGGUGAACCUGAACUCUGAGCUUCAGCGAUGGCUCUUCUGGAUUGCACCUUAGAAGCCGCUAUAAAUUGGCAUGACACCCACGCUAAAAAACUGUUUGACAAGCACGCUGUCGACGGCAAGUUGACCAAGGACCAGCUGAAUAAGCUCGUACAGGAGGACUCUAACAAUGAAAUGAUGAAAACGAAAAUGGCAGCAGGUGGCUGUGAGAGGAUGAAGCAAUGGAUGGAAAAGAACUGCAUCAACACGAUGGACUUUGAGGUCUUCUCUCGGUGGUUGAAUAUGGUGGCCUACACCAGAUACUGUAAGGCCAAAUGCCAACAAGGUGGCAGCUGUGCACAAGCCUGCAAAUAAAACCUUUAAAGGAUUGCCGUCAAAAUCGAA
This is a long non-coding RNA of Epinephelus moara (kelp grouper), 409 nucleotides long. RefSeq lists it as uncharacterized. The record is from RefSeq and is a predicted model, not a curated record. The transcript is spliced from 3 exons. Lineage: Eukaryota; Metazoa; Chordata; Actinopteri; Perciformes; Serranidae.